RNAcentral lists this long non-coding RNA (390 nucleotides) under Homo sapiens (human). Its description in RNAcentral is "non-protein coding lnc-TDRD3-1:6". Lineage: Eukaryota; Metazoa; Chordata; Mammalia; Primates; Hominidae. The record is from RNAcentral.
AUGUGUUGCAACUACUACGGCAACUCCUGUGGCUAUGGCUCCAGCUAUGGCUGUGGCUAUGGCUCUGGUUAUGGCUAUGGCUAUGGCUCCAGCUAUGGCUGUGGCUAUGGAACUGGCUACAGCUGUGGCUAUGGCUGUGGCUAUGGCUCUGGUUAUGGCUGUGGCUAUGGCUCCAGCUAUGGCUGUGGCUAUGGAACUGGCUACAGCUGUGGCUAUGGCUCUGGCUACAGCUGUGGCUAUGGCUCUGGCUCUGGCUGUGGCUAUGGAACUGGCUUCGGCUGUGGGUAUGGCUGUGGUUAUGGAACUGGCUAUGGCUGUGGAUGUGGCUCUGGCUCUGGCUACUGUGGCUACCGGCCAUUUUGCUUUAGAAGAUGCUAUUCUUCCUGCUAA